This 442-nucleotide ribosomal RNA is filed under the name uncultured bacterium. RNAcentral's name for it is "partial 16S ribosomal RNA". It matches the Rfam family "Bacterial small subunit ribosomal RNA", at positions 338 to 795 of the family's 1533-position model. The record is from RNAcentral.
CCUACGGGAGGCAGCAGUAGGGAAUCUUUCACAAUGGGCGAAAGCCUGAUGGAGCAACGCCGCGUGCAGGAUGAAGGCCUUCGGGUUGUAAACUGCUUUUAUAAGCGAGAAAUAUGAUGGUAACUUAUGAAUAAGGAUCGGCUAACUACGUGCCAGCAGCCGCGGUCAUACGUAGGAUGCGAGCAUUAUCCGGAGUGACUGGGUGUAAAGAGUUGCGUAGGUGGCAUAAUAAGUAGCUAGUGAAAACUGGUGGCUCAACCAUUCAGACUAUUAGCUAAACUGUUAAGCUCGAGACCGUUAGGGGUAACUGGAAUUUCUAGUGUAGGAGUGAAAUCCGUAGAUAUUAGAAGGAACACCAAUAGCGUAGGCAGGUUGCUGGGACGGUUCUGACACUAAGGCACGAAAGCGUAGGGAGCAAACGGGAUUAGAUACCCCUGUAGUC